Molecule: ribosomal RNA, 478 nt
Filed under: uncultured organism
Description: partial 16S ribosomal RNA
Rfam family: Bacterial small subunit ribosomal RNA
Source: RNAcentral
UACACUCCUGCGGGAGGCAGCAGUGGGGAAUUUUGGCCAAUGGGCGAAAGCCUGAUCCAGCCAUGCCGCGUGCAGGAUGAAGGCCUUCGGGUUGUAAACUGCUUUUGUACGGAACGAAACGGCCUUUUCUAAUAAAGAGGGCUAAUGACGGUACCGUAAGAAUAAGCACCGGCUAACUACGUGCCAGCAGCCGCGGUAAUACGUAGGGUGCAAGCGUUAAUCGGAAUUACUGGGCGUAAAGCGUGCGCAGGCGGUUAUGUAAGACAGUUGUGAAAUCCCCGAGCUCAACCUGGGAACUGCAUCUGUGACUGCAUAGCUAGAGUACGGUAGAGGGGGAUGGAAUUCCGCGUGUAGCAGUGAAAUGCGUAGAUAUGCGGAGGAACACCGAUGGCGAAGGCAAUCCCCUGGACCUGUACUGACGCUCAUGCACGAAAGCGUGGGGAGCAAACAGGAUUAGAUACCCCAGUAGUCCCAUGAU